Molecule: ribosomal RNA, 301 nt
Filed under: uncultured bacterium
Lineage: Bacteria
Description: partial 16S ribosomal RNA
Rfam family: Bacterial small subunit ribosomal RNA
Source: RNAcentral
CAGUAGCCGCGGGAAUACGUAGGUGACAAGCGUUGUCCGGAAUUAUUGGGCGUAAAGGGCUCGCAGGCGGUUUCUUAGGUCUGAUGUGAAAGCCCCCGGCUCAACCGGGGAGGGUCAUUGGAAACUGGGAAACUUGAGUGCAGAAGAGGAGAGUGGAAUUCCACGUGUAGCGGUGAAAUACGUAGAGAUGUGGAGGAACACCAGUGGCGAAGGCGACUCUCUGGUCUGUAACUGACGCUGAGGAGCGAAAGCGUGGGGAGCGAACAGGAUUAGAUACCCCCGUAGUCCCUGUCUCUUAUAC